GUCAAGGUCACAUUUUCAUGUGUACGAAAACGUGGUUUUUCGACAAGGUCAAAACCGGAAGGCUUGACGAUGACAAGAUAGCCUCUUUGACAAGGGACAUUGCUGUGGCUUAGAAUGGCUGUUUUCAAAUCAACUUUAACAAGCACUCAGCGGGCCUUUUCUCGCUCUUGUAUCCCUUUUCUUCCUGUCCAAGAAAAUGGAUCUAUCCCAAGGAUAAUUCCAAAAACACCAGAAAACAGGAUCAAGAUGUUGGCUGUAGUUGUUGUGGUCGUGGGACUGUCCACUUCCACCUUCUGUAGCAGGAAACUCUCAUGUGAAAAACAAGACUGUAAUCCACUCAAAAGGCUAUUCUUAUCACAGCAACAAGCCAAGGAUCACCGUAUCAGUAGUGAAAAUGCAAAAGACUAUCCUGUAGCCAUUGGAGUGAAGGAGUAGAAAUUAAAGCAACAGAAAACAUGUAAUCAAGGCUUUUAAAGGGCUGUGCUUAGUCAAAAGGAAACUUCCAAACUGCAAACAGACAUGUCAGCAUAUUCUUCUAAAUCUUCCACAGAUGCCUGAACCUGAGAAAAUGCUGUUGGGGAACAUUUUGUCUGAACUUCUGGUAGAGGACUGGACCAGUAGUUGGAUCAGAGUUCAUUUGAUAGCCAUCAGAAAUAAGUUGGAAGAUUUAGUAAAGGUCAUAUAGAUAUCUGUUACAGGAAUGAGUCCUUGAAUGUAAAUUGAAACGCUGUUAAAGAAUAUGCUGAUCUGUUCAAACCUUUCGACUCGACUUAUUACUUAAACGUUACAUUUUGUAAUUUAUUAAUAAGUGUUUGAUGAAGUCCCAUUCUCAAUGUUAAUUUGUAAGCAUAAAUGCUUACACUAUUUCGAAAGGGUUUUCGAGGAGAAGAAAUGGUAAAGGUAUUCUUCUAGCAUGCAGCAUUUUAUAUAGGCCUCUUCCUCAAGAUCUGUUACUAAGCGAUAUAUUUUGAUGAUAAUGUAAACCUGAAUGGCCUCAUGUGAUAGAAUGGUAAUGACAGGAAGUUGUAAGAUAUAAAUGUUUACAUUUUAAAAAUAUAUAAAGUAGAACUUAAGUUGAAGUUUUACAACUUUUCUGUUUAAAUUGAACGUCUUCAUUUACUGAUGAAAUUAGAACUUUAAAAUGAUUUCACAUUUAUUUAUUGAUAGUACCCAUAACCAAUGCCAAUGGAUCGAUGUGCACAACAAGUGAUUUGAAAUAUAUUUUACUUGUUUUUAAAAAGCAUUCUCUGUAUUUUCUGUGAACAUACCCAGAUAAUGCUAAUAAUAGAUUUGCAUCAUGUUAAAUACAUUUUUCCUUUAGUUUCACGCAAAUUCUAUAUCGGAUGUAAAAUAGAAAUGUUUCUAGUUAUAGUUGCAUUUAAUGUGUAGAAAAUACUAUGCCAACCAUUUAUUCAAAGACAUAGUUAAGGUCUAUUUGGACUUGUGUUGUUAGAUCAAGAUUUAUUUGACUUGUUCAUAUUAAUAUAUACAGAUCUUACCAUGCAAGCUUGUAGCUCUGGAUGCUGACUCCUCGGAGUAAAGAACUUGUCUGUCUAAAGUAACAUUGACAAAGAAGUUUUAUCGCGGGACUGAUUGUAUAAUUGAAGUGUGAUAGAAUGUGUGAAGUGUGGAUGAAUUGAUUGGCAAACAGACUGAAAGUUGUAAAGAUGAAUACUUUAUAAAAUUUUCUUGUUUCCCAAUAACCCUGUGAUUUAUUUACUGAAUGUUCAAACACGUAUAUAUUUAUAUCUAUUAUUCAAGUGUGUUUGUAGUGGUUCUGAUAACAUUUAUUUUUAGUGUUUCAACAUAAUUUAUUAUAUGGUUCCAACAAAAACCAUCUGUUUUUAUGUCAAACCUUAAAAUAUAUAGUCAGGCCAAAGUAGUUUGUCAUGUUGAACCUUGCAUGGAAUAUUCAUAAUAUCAGGCAAUCAUUUUUCAUUGUUGAUUGUUUUAAGCGCAUGAAUUACAGCAUGCACAUCCCAGAUAUCACAUUGGUUUAUACUUAUUUCACCUGUAUCAAAUUGGACAAUUGUUUGAACAAUACCUAUCCGUACAUGUCCUAUAUAUGCUGCCUAUAUGAAUAUUGACUCUCCUGUUAACAAUAUGUUAAUAAGAGAUCAACAUGCCAACUCACUGGUCUGGUUAUUUUGUUGUUGUUUUUUUUUUUAACUCUAAUCAUGUGUGCAUGAAUAGGUAAUUAGAGGUGUGGUUUUAAUAAGUUGUCUGUAACUGAUAUGAAAUAUCUGUUGGAUGUUUAUUUGUGAUACAAUUCGCGAUCGUUCAGAAAUUAGUGUCAUAUAAAGUGUGUUACAUAAUCUGUAUUUUAAGUUCAAUUUGUUAUAUUGGAGUCCGUUUUUAAGUCGAACCUAAUGAAAUAAUUCCACUUAUGACACUAUCAGGUAAUAGAUUGAAGAAGAUUUGAAACUUUACACUUUAUUACAUAAUGUGGUUUGAAUCUUGAUUAUGGACCUUUUAGUGAAAAGGAGAUGUCCAUCUCAGCUAAGUUGACACAAUCGGGCUGUUAUCUGUCCAUUGAAAAAGGUCCGCAAUCAAAAGUGUUCUGCCUUUGUCUCGUGAAAGGCUUUAAUAGUGGAUGUUAAACCUGUCAAUAAUACAGUAAUAAUUAUUUUCUGCUGGACUGAGUUUCUUAUCCCCCCAAUAUACCUGUCCUUGUCCUAACUACAGAUUGGAUUUAUUAAUUAUUCUAUAUAUUUGAUAAUAUUGGUUGCAUGGAUACUCUAUUGUUAAUUUUGUUUUUAUGCAGUGAGGAGGAAAAAUGAAUUAGCAAAAUGAACAAUAGGUAUAUUUGUGUAGGCAUGUUUAAUAUGAUUUCUUUAUUUUCAAACAUUAAAUCACCAAGUUAUUUAAAUGUCAUCCCUUGCUAUUUUCUCAGAAUUUGAUUUAAAAAAAUAUUGUUUGUAUUGUUAUGGUGGAUUAAUUGUUUAUGAUUAUAUUCCUGCCACAUUGUCUCUGUAACCUCUGUAUAUGUAUCAAAUAUGAGAAUUUAGGUCCAUCUGUAGGCAAUGUUAUGGGUCUGACUAAAGACUUUAAACAUUAUGCAGACGUGUAAUAAGAUGUAUUUAUCAUCAGUUGAAAUGUCGUUCUGUAUAAAGUUAAUUGUGUAUUAUUUUCAAUGCUUUGUUUUAUUUUAUUGUUGAAUAAAAUUUUAAACAUGACA
Pecten maximus is the source of this 3178-nucleotide long non-coding RNA. RefSeq lists it as uncharacterized. The transcript has 3 exons. NCBI's taxonomy places the organism in Eukaryota, Metazoa, Mollusca, Bivalvia, Pectinida, Pectinidae. The record is from RefSeq and is a predicted model, not a curated record.